Molecule: ribosomal RNA, 301 nt
Filed under: uncultured bacterium
Lineage: Bacteria
Description: partial 16S ribosomal RNA
Rfam family: Bacterial small subunit ribosomal RNA
Source: RNAcentral
CAGCCGCCGCGGGAAUACGAAGGGGGCUAGCGUUGCUCGGAAUGACUGGGCGUAAAGGGCGCGUAGGCGGAUUGUUUAGUUAGGCGUGCAAUUCCUGGGCUUAACCUGGGGACUGCGCUUAAUACAGGCAGUCUAGAGUGAGGAAGAGGGUUGUGGAAUUCCCAGUGUAGAGGUGAAAUUCGUAGAUAUUGGGAAGAACACCGGUGGCGAAGGCGGCAACCUGGUCCUUGACUGACGCUGAGGCGCGAAAGCGUGGGGAGCAAACAGGAUUAGAUACACGCGUAGUCCCUGUCUCUUAUAC